AAAGGAAGUUGACGGGGCCCGCACAAGCGGAGGAGCAUGUGGUUUAAUUCGAUGAUACGCGAGGAACCUUACCUGGGCUCGAACGUAAGAUGACUGUAGGUGAAAGCUUACAUCUCUUCGGAGCAUUUUACGAGGUGCUGCAUGGUUGUCGUCAGCUCGCGCCGUGAGGUGUCGGGUUAAGUCCCAUAACGAGCGCAACCCCUGCCUUUAGUUGCCAUCAGGUUAAGCUGGGGACUCUAAAGGAACUGCCUACGCAAGUAGUGAGGAAGGCGGGGAUGACGUCAAAUCAGCACGGCCCUUACGUCCAGGGCUACACACGUGCUACAAUGGCCGAUACAGAGGGCAGCUACCUGGUGACAGGAUGCAAAUCUCCAAAGUCGGUCUCAGUUCGGAUCGGAGUCUGCAACCCGACUCCGUGAAGUUGGAUUCGCUAGUAAUCGCGCAUCAGCCAUGGCGCGGUGAAUACGUUCCCGGGCCUU
This 479-nucleotide ribosomal RNA is filed under the name uncultured Sphingobacteriales bacterium. RNAcentral's name for it is "bacterial SSU rRNA". It matches the Rfam family "Bacterial small subunit ribosomal RNA", at positions 903 to 1382 of the family's 1533-position model. The record is from RNAcentral. Lineage: Bacteria; Pseudomonadati; Bacteroidota; Sphingobacteriia; Sphingobacteriales.